Molecule: non-coding RNA, 23 nt
Filed under: Cricetulus griseus (Chinese hamster)
Lineage: Eukaryota; Metazoa; Chordata; Mammalia; Rodentia; Cricetidae
Source: RNAcentral
AGGUCGUGUCCAUUCUUUUGUAG